AAGGAAUGAACAGAUGGACUUCCAAUGAAACGACAAGAUUUCUUCAGAGACUUACUAAAGCUCAUUUUGAAAAGAAUCUUGUAGUACAAGGGGAUGGCUCCUGGACAAAACGAAAGAAAGGCUUGCAGUAUGUGUCAUUUGGGAUAUAGUAGCCAGGUAUUCGCUGCACCCCAAACUGAGCAAGUUUAGGUGGGAAAGCCUUACUUGCAAAAGUUUGCCUGAGAGAUGCACAUGCUCGAAAUGACAGGAUAAUAGUAAUCCUUCCAAGGAUUUUGUCAGCAUCACUGUCCUCACCAAACAGUGUUUUCUCAGGGGGAAUUUUUGUUCUGUUCUCUGUAUCAAAAAUAAACUGGGUAGUGUUUGCUGAGUCCUGAAAAAAAAAAUAAAAUCACUUUACAAAGCAA
This is a long non-coding RNA of Mastomys coucha (southern multimammate mouse), 404 nucleotides long. RefSeq lists it as uncharacterized. The transcript has 2 exons. The record is from RefSeq and is a predicted model, not a curated record. NCBI's taxonomy places the organism in Eukaryota, Metazoa, Chordata, Mammalia, Rodentia, Muridae.